RNAcentral lists this long non-coding RNA (423 nucleotides) under Eucalyptus grandis. Its description in RNAcentral is "long non-coding RNA (EGRA_LNC006535)". Lineage: Eukaryota; Viridiplantae; Streptophyta; Magnoliopsida; Myrtales; Myrtaceae. The record is from RNAcentral.
AGGAGGGGGAGGAGGGGGAGGGGACGAAUGGACUACGGUGGUCUUGGGGGGUUUGGGAGGGAGGGAGAUGGUGGCGGCGGCGGCGGCGGCGGCGGAGGAGGAGGAUUUGGAGGAGACGGCGGCGGCGGCGGGGAGGCGGAGGGUUCUUGGUGGGUGGAGAGACGGCGAGGGGAGAUCAUGGGGAGGGAGGGGGAAGUGAUGGGGAUGAUUGAAAUGGAGGGAGAGUGGGUCUUGCAUGAUGCUACAUGGCUUGGGGAGGAGGGGGAAUGACGAAGAGGAAGCGAGCUGACGGUGGCUUUUGUGUUUUUGGUGGAUGUGAGGAUAAGAGGAUGGAGAAUUUCCUGACUCUGCAGAUUGCUUGUGAUAAUGCAAUGACAAAGGAGAGUCCCGGAAGAUGAGAGAGACACACACACACACACACAG